RNAcentral lists this transfer RNA (60 nucleotides) under Proasellus ortizi. RNAcentral describes it as "transfert RNA-D(GAC)". Lineage: Eukaryota; Metazoa; Arthropoda; Malacostraca; Isopoda; Asellidae. The record is from RNAcentral.
UAAGAAUUAAUUAAAAAAUAAUAUAAACUUGUCAUGUUUAAAUUGGGCCUCCAUUCUUAA